Molecule: long non-coding RNA, 1132 nt
Filed under: Anas zonorhyncha (Eastern spot-billed duck)
Lineage: Eukaryota; Metazoa; Chordata; Aves; Anseriformes; Anatidae
Description: lncRNA (ENSAZOG00000008247.1)
Source: RNAcentral
UUUGGGGUCACCGAGGUCUUGGGGUCACCAAAUUUUGGGGACUUUGGGGUCUUUUGGGGACUUUGGGGUUUUGGGGCCAUUCAAGUGCAUUUUGGGGCCAUCCAAGCGCAUUUUGGGUCAAUUCAACCAUUUUUCGGCAUCCCCGAGCUCUUGGUGUCCCCGAGGGCUCUCGGUGCGUUGGGGCUGCCCCCAAACUUUGCGUUUCUCACCCCAAAUUUUGGGGAUAUUGGGGUCUUUUGAGGACAUUCAAGUGCGUUUUGGGGGAAUUCAAGUGCGUUUUGGGGUCACCGAGGUCUUGGGGACGCCAAAUUUUGGGGACUUUGGGGUCUUUUGGGGACUUUGGGGUUUUGGGGACAUUCAAGUGCAUUUUGGGGAAAUUCAAGCGUCUUUUGGGGUCCCUGAGGUCUUGGGGACACCAAAUUUUGGGGAUUUUGGGGUCUUUUGGGGAUGUUCAAGCGUCUUUUGGGGUCACCGAGGUUUUGGGGACGCCAAAUUUUGGGGACUUUGGGGUCUUUUGGGGACAUUCAGGUGUCUUUUGGGAACACCGAGGGGUCUUGGGGACACCAAAUUUUGGGGAUUUUGGGGUCUUUUGGGGAAAUCAAGUGUGUUUUGGGGUCACCGAGGUCUUGGGGACACCAAAUUUUGGGGACAUUCAAGUGUCUUUUGGGGACUUUGGGGUCUUUUGGGGACUUUGUGAUUUUGGGGCCAUCCAAGCGCAUUUUGGGUCAAUUCAAGCCUUUUUCGGCAUCCCCGAGCUCUUGGUGUCCCCGAGGGCUCUCGGUGCGUUGGGGCCGCCCCCAAACUUUGCGUUUCUCACCCCAAAUUUUGGGGACUUUGGGGUCUUUUGGGGACAUUCAAGUGUGUUUUGGGGUCACCGAGGUCUUGGGGACACCAAAUUUUGGGGCCUUUGGGGUCUUUUGGGGACAUUUGGGGCCUUUUGGGGCCUCCUGGGGACAUUUGGGGUCCUUUAGGGACAUGGGGGUCCCUUGGGGUCAUUUGGGGUCGUUUGGGGGCUUUUGGGGUCGUUUGGGGUCUCUUGGGGACAUCUGGGACCUAUUGGGGACACAGGGGUCCUUUGGGGACAUUUGGGACCUCUUGGGGUCCCUGGGGACAUGGGGGGCUUUUUGGGGUC